GAGGAAUAUUGGUCAAUGGGCGAGAGCCUGAACCAGCCAAGUAGCGUGCAGGAUGACGGCCCUAUGGGUUGUAAACCGCUUUUGUAUGGGGAUAAAGUCAAUCACGUGUGAUUGUUUGCAGGUACCAUACGAAUAAGGACCGGCUAAUUCCGUGCCAGCAGCCGCGGUAAUACGGAAGGUCCGGGCGUUAUCCGGAUUUAUUGGGUUUAAAGGGAGCGUAGGCUGGAGAUUAAGUGUGUUGUGAAAUGUAGACGCUCAACGUCUGACUUGCAGCGCAUACUGGUUUCCUUGAGUACGCACAACGUUGGCGGAAUUCGUCGUGUAGCGGUGAAAUGCUUAGAUAUGACGAAGAACUCCGAUUGCGAAGGCAGCUGACGGGAGCGCAACUGACGCUGAAGCUCGAAGGUGCGGGUAUCGAACAGGAUUAGAUACCCUGGUAGUCCGCACAGUAAACGAUGGAUGCCCGCUGUUGGUACCUGGUAUCAGCGGCUAAGCGAAAGCAUUAAGCAUCCCACCUGGGGAGUACGCCGGCAACGGUG
Molecule: ribosomal RNA, 539 nt
Filed under: uncultured bacterium
Lineage: Bacteria
Description: bacterial SSU rRNA
Rfam family: Bacterial small subunit ribosomal RNA
Source: RNAcentral